RNAcentral lists this ribosomal RNA (1565 nucleotides) under uncultured marine eukaryote. RNAcentral describes it as "SSU rRNA". It matches the Rfam family "Eukaryotic small subunit ribosomal RNA", at positions 411 to 1779 of the family's 1831-position model. The record is from RNAcentral.
CACAACUAAGGUUGGCAGCAGGCGCGCAAAUUGCCCAAUAGCAACACAUCGCUGAGGCAACGAAGAGAAAUAGCAACUUCAUGUGGCCCUGCCAUGUGAAGAUUGCCAUGGACGAUAUCUAAACCUGUCGGUGAGUAUCAAUUGGUGGACAAGUCUGGUGCCAGCACCCGCGGUAAUUCCAGCACCAAUAGCGUAUAUUAAUGCUGCUGCUGUUAAAAAGCUCGUAGUUGGAUCAAGAGUUGGACAGUGCACGGUGGCCCCAUUUGUGUAGCUGGCUCCGGUCAGUUAUACGGUGGCGGAACAACCCCGUGCGCCAAACUGUCCACUCUAACAGACCGAAGCGGUUCCCUGUGAGUAGGCUCCUUAAUUGGGGCUGAAAGCGCCUACGCAUCAACCAUAUGCAUACGGGACGUCGGUCAAAGUUACUGUGAACAAACCAGCGUGUCCAAGGCAGGCUUUCGCCUGAAUGUUCGAGCAUGGAAUAACAAGGGAUCGAUUCUCUCGGUUCUUUUUGUUGGUUUUUAACCCGAGAAGGAGAAAUUCAGGCCACGGUGUCUGAGUUGGGUUUCCCAGGGCUUCGGCUCUGGCCCCAAUUAGGCCGUGUCCUUACGGGAUCAAUAGGGACUGACGGGGUCGUACCUACUUCCGCGUCAGAGGUGAAAUUCUUAGAUCGCGGGAAGAGGAACUUCAGCGAAAGCAUUCGACAAGAAUGUCUUCAUUAAUCAAGAACGAGAGUGUGGGGAUCGAAGAUGAUCAGAUACCGUCGUAGUCCACUACUGUAAACAAUGCCGUCUCAGAAUUGAGAAGUGAACAGAAUGACUUUCACAGCACUAACCCCUGAAACGAGAAAUCAAAGAUUAUGGGUUCAGGGGGGAGUACAUUCGCAAGGCUGAAACUUAAAGGAAUUGACGGAAUGACACCACAAGGCGUGGAGUAUGCGGCUUAAUUUGACUCAACACGGGGAAUUUUACUAGGUCAGGACAAUGUAAGGAUUGACAGAUUGAGAGCUCUUUCUCGAUCCAUUGUGUGGUGGUGCAUGGCCGCUCCUGGUUGGUGGAGUGAUUUGUCUGGUUGAUUCCGUUAACGAACGAGAUCUCGACCCUUAAAUAGGUGCGCAUGUCGAUUGUAGCUUCACCUCCGCCAGCUUGCUGGAUUGGAGUGGGGCGAGACUGUGCGAAUACUUCUUAGGGGGACUGUGUGCGCCUAUAGCACGCGGAAGAGCGAGCCAAUAGCAGGUCUGUGAUGCUCCUAAAUGUCCUAGGCUGCACGCGCACUACACUGAUGCAAUAAACGAGUCUGAGUGCCUUCUGGCAACCUACCUGGAAGCGGGUGGGAAAUCUUUUGAACUUGCAUCGUGAUGAGGAUCGACGAUUGCAAUUAUUCUCCUUGAAUGAGGAAUGCCUAGUAGGCACAAGUCAUCAGCUUGUACUGAUUACGUCCCUGCCAUUUGUACACACCGCCCGUCGUUGCUACUGAUUGGCUGUAGGGUAGAGAUCGGCGGAUUUUGGGCAGUUGGGGCAACUCUUCUGUCUAGGAGAAACCUAUCAAUAUUCUGCAGCUAGAAG